GGCCGAGAGGGGCAGGGUGAGUAUGUCUNGGGAACUGCCUGAUGGAGGGGGAUAACUACUGGAAACGGUAGCUAAUACCGCAUAACGUCGCAAGACCAAAGAGGGGGACCUUCGGGCCUCUUGCCAUCAGAUGUGCCCAGAUGGGAUUAGCUAGUAGGUGGGGUAAUGGCUCACCUAGGCGACGAUCCCUAGCUGGUCUGAGAGGAUGACCAGCCACACUGGAACUGAGACACGGUCCAGACUCCUACGGGAGGCAGCAGUGGGGAAUAUUGCACAAUGGGCGCAAGCCUGAUGCAGCCAUGCCGCGUGUGUGAAGAAGGCCUUCGGGUUGUAAAGCACUUUCAGCGAGGAGGAAGGUGGUGAGCUUAAUACGCUCAUCAACUGACGUUACUCGCAAA
This 398-nucleotide ribosomal RNA is filed under the name uncultured bacterium. RNAcentral describes it as "bacterial SSU rRNA". It matches the Rfam family "Bacterial small subunit ribosomal RNA", at positions 89 to 485 of the family's 1533-position model. The record is from RNAcentral.